CAAGUCGAGCGAGGAAACAGAUAGCAAUAUUUGUUAUUCGAGCGGCGUAAGGGGCAGUAAUACCUGGGAACGUACCCUGAGGUCGGGGAUAGCUGCUAGAAACGGCGAGUAAUACCCGAUGAUCUCGGAAGAGCAAAGGCUUGCCGCCUUCGGAGCGGCCCAGGCGAUAUUAGCUAGUUGGUGGGGUAACGGCCUACCAAGGCAUAGAUGUCUAGCGGGUGUGAGAGCACGACCCGCGCCACUGGCACUGAGACACUGGCCAGACACCUACGGGUGGCUGCAGUCGAGAAUCUUCGGCAAUGAGCGCAAGCUUGACCGAGCGACGCCGCGUGCGGGAUGAAGGCCUUCGGGUUGUAAACCGCUUUGGUCCGAGAGAAAGGGCAACUUGAUCGAUCGGAGAAACAAGGACGGGCUAAGUUCGUGCCAGCAGCCGCGGUAAGACGAACCGUCCAAACGUUAUUCGGAAUCACUGGGCUUAAAGGGCGCGUAGGCGGCCGAGCGGGUCACGGGUGAAAUCCUCCAGCUUAACUGGAGAACUGCCCUUGAUACCACUGCGGCUCGAGGAAGGAAGGGGCAAUCGGAACUGUCGGUGGAGCGGUGAAAUGCGUUGAUAUCGACAGGAACGCCGGUGGCGAAAGCGGAUUGCUGGUCCUUUUCUGACGCUGAGGCGCGAAAGCCAGGGGAGCAAACGGGAUUAGAUACCCCGGUAGUCCUGGCCUUAAACGAUGAGAACUAGGUAGUGGGUCCGACCUGGGCACACUGCCGAAGCGAAAGUCUUAAGUUCUCCGCCUGGGGAGUAUGGUCGCAAGGCUGAAACUCAAGGAAUUUGACGGGGG
RNAcentral lists this ribosomal RNA (836 nucleotides) under uncultured Planctomycetota bacterium. Its description in RNAcentral is "bacterial SSU rRNA". It matches the Rfam family "Bacterial small subunit ribosomal RNA", at positions 58 to 919 of the family's 1533-position model. Lineage: Bacteria; Pseudomonadati; Planctomycetota. The record is from RNAcentral.